AGCCGCGGUAAUUCCAGCUCCAUUGGCGUAUAUUAAAGUUGUUGCGGUUAAAAAGCUCGUAGUUGGAUCUGUGUAUCGGACGGUCGGUUCGCCGCUCGCGGCGUUUAACUGACCGGUCCGGACGUCCUGCCGGUGGGGCGCCGGUUCGCGCCGGCGUCCCGUAACUCCCUCCGCGCUGCUCUUAACCGAGUGGUUCGGUGGGCCGGCACGUUUACUUUGAACAAAUUUGAGUGCUCAAAGCAGGCCUUAUGUCGCCUGAAAACUGUGUGCAUGGAAUAAUGGAAUAGGGCCUUGGUUCUAUUUUGUUGGCUUUUCUGAACUCGAGGUAAUGAUUAAUAGGGACAGACGGGGGCAUUCGUAUUGCGACGUUAGAGGUGAAAUUCUUGGAUCGUCGCAAGACGGACCGAUGCGAAAGCGUUUGCCAAGAAUGUUUUCGCUAAUCAAGAACGAAAGUUAGAGGUUCGAAGGCGAUCAGAUACCGCCCUAGUUCUAACCAUAAACGAUGCCAGCCAGCGAUACGCCGAAGUUCCUCCGAUGACUCGGCGUGCAGCUUCCGGGAAACCAAAGCUUUUGGGUUCCGGGGGAA
RNAcentral lists this ribosomal RNA (586 nucleotides) under Metretopus borealis. RNAcentral describes it as "SSU rRNA". It matches the Rfam family "Eukaryotic small subunit ribosomal RNA", at positions 572 to 1122 of the family's 1831-position model. Lineage: Eukaryota; Metazoa; Arthropoda; Insecta; Ephemeroptera; Metretopodidae. The record is from RNAcentral.